RNAcentral lists this ribosomal RNA (161 nucleotides) under uncultured bacterium. RNAcentral describes it as "partial 16S ribosomal RNA". It matches the Rfam family "Bacterial small subunit ribosomal RNA", at positions 358 to 511 of the family's 1533-position model. The record is from RNAcentral.
GGAAUCUUCCACAAUGGACGAAAGUCUGAUGGAGCAACGCCGCGUGAGUGAAGAAGGGUUUCGGCUCGUAAAGCUCUGUUGUUAAAGAAGAACACGUAUGAGAGUAACUGUUCAUACGUUGACGGUAUUUAACCAGAAAGUCACGGCUAACUACGUGCCAA